UGUAGCCAGAGAAUCUUUUGAAGAGAAUCAUAAGAAAAUGCUCUCUGGAAAGAAAGUGGAGUUUUCCAAAGUCCACAUGACACGUGAUGUUGCAAAAGACUGAAUGCAGAAGCAGAUAUGAAAUCCAGACAUCUUCUCUUAAGAGAAGGGAAGAAAGAAGAUUGACGUAAAACCUCUGCAGUUGGGUUACACGGCCAGAGCAGGGAUUACAACCUCAAAUCCUUCCAGAGGCCAGACAAGUCACGCAAACGCGGGAGCCUGGUGGAUUCUGGCACAGAGCAACAGUCCGGCCUGGCUACAGGGGCAGCCAUGUCUCUACUUGGGCUUCUUGCUGCUGUGUUUGACCCAGGAGCCCUUGUUGCCCAAUCUCCC
Molecule: long non-coding RNA, 372 nt
Organism: Cervus elaphus (red deer)
Lineage: Eukaryota; Metazoa; Chordata; Mammalia; Artiodactyla; Cervidae
Exons: 3
Source: RefSeq, a predicted model, not a curated record